AUGUAUAUACACUAGUCAUGAGCGUUCGGUUAUUGGUUCGGUUUUAUUCGGUUUCAGUUCUAGAGUUUAGUAUCAAUUCGGAUAUUUUGAAAUCUCGCUUCUGUUCCGGUUCUUUAGGUUUAAAAAGUAAAUAUCCAUUCAGGUAUUUUGCUUUAGACGUUUUUGAUAUUUCGGUUAUUUUGAGUAUAUUCGGAUAUUUUUUGGUUAUUUUUAAAUA
RNAcentral lists this small RNA (217 nucleotides) under Arabidopsis thaliana (thale cress). RNAcentral describes it as "ATSL259070". The record is from RNAcentral. Lineage: Eukaryota; Viridiplantae; Streptophyta; Magnoliopsida; Brassicales; Brassicaceae.